AAUUAAUGCUAGCGUCAUUAGCUGCCGACCAACGCAUGAAGAAGAAAAAUUGAUCACAAAAUUGACAUUACAAAGAAAACGAGCUGUUUUGUCAAUUUUAUGACAAAAAUAUAUAUAUAAAAUAUUGGAUAAAUUGAUGGGUAUUUAUUUGCAUAAUUUUUUUAUAAGUUGUUUUUCUUUAAUAAAUUUAGAAAGUGUAUAACAGUGAUUUAAUCUUUAAUGGUAUGGUUAUACUUAACUAAUUCAUCCUACUACCUCCUUUCAUAUAAAUUAAUUUUAUUCAUCCUUCUACAUCCAAGUUCUUGACUUACCAGCCUGAGCUAUCCUCUCAGGUUUUCUCUGUGGGAAUAUCAGCUUGUAGAUUGAAUUGUCUUGUGAGCAGUUCUUGUGCCGCUUCAACGCCUUGGAACUGGGUUGUGUUACUUGAAAACAUCA
Molecule: unclassified non-coding RNA, 435 nt
Filed under: Hevea brasiliensis (rubber tree)
Lineage: Eukaryota; Viridiplantae; Streptophyta; Magnoliopsida; Malpighiales; Euphorbiaceae
Source: RNAcentral